GAUGAACGCUGGCGGCGUGCCUAAUACAUGCAAGUCGAGCGAACGGACGAGAAUCUUGCUUCUCUGAUGUUAGCGGCGGACGGGUGAGUAACACGUGGAUAACCUACCUAUAAGACUGGGAUAACUUCGGGAAACCGUAGCUAAUACCGGAUAAUAUUUUGAACCGCAUGGUUCAAAAGUGAAAGACGGUCUUUCUGUCACUUAUAGAUGGAUCCGCGCUGCAUUAGCUAGUUGGUAAGGUAACGGCUUACCAAGGCAACGAUGCAUAGCCGACCUGAGAGGGUGAUCGGCCAAACGGGAACUGAGACACGGAACAGAGUACUAAGGGAGGCAGCAGUAGGGAAUCUUCCGAAAUGGGCGAAAGCAUGACGGAGCAACGCCGCGUGAGUGAUGAAGGUCUUCGGAUCGUAAAACUCUGUUAUUAGGGAAGAACAUAUGUGUAAGUAACUGUGCACAUCGUGACGGUACCUAAUCAGAAAGCAACGGCUAACUACGUG
Molecule: ribosomal RNA, 497 nt
Filed under: uncultured bacterium
Lineage: Bacteria
Description: partial 16S ribosomal RNA
Rfam family: Bacterial small subunit ribosomal RNA
Source: RNAcentral